RNAcentral lists this transfer RNA (71 nucleotides) under Loxodonta africana (African savanna elephant). It matches the Rfam family "tRNA". Rfam says of the family: Transfer RNA (tRNA) molecules are approximately 80 nucleotides in length. Their secondary structure includes four short double-helical elements and three loops (D, anti-codon, and T loops). Lineage: Eukaryota; Metazoa; Chordata; Mammalia; Proboscidea; Elephantidae. The record is from Rfam by way of RNAcentral.
GUGGUGGUGGUUCAGUGGUAGAAUCCUCACCUUCCAUGUGGGAGACCUGGGUUUGAUUCCUGACCAGUGCA